GACGAACGCUGGCGGCGUGCUUAACACAUGCAAGUCGAACGGAAAGGCCCUGCUCUUGUGGGGUGCUCGAGUGGCGAACGGGUGAGUAUCACGUGAGUAACCUGCCCUUGACUUUGGGAUAACUUCAGGAAACUGGGGCUAAUACCGGAUAUUAGCUCCUGCUGCAUGGUGGUGGUUGGAAAGUUUCGGCGGUUGGGGAUGGACUCGCGGCUUAUCAGCUUGUUGGUGAGGUAGUGGCUUACCCAGGCUUUGACGGGUAGCCGGCCUGAGAGGGUGACCGGCCACAUUGGGACUGAGAUACGGCCCAGACUCCUACGGGAGGCAGCAGUGGGGAAUAUUGCAGAAUGGGCGGAAGCCUGAUGCAGCAACGCCGCGUGCGGGAUGACGGCCUUCGGGUUGUAAACCGCUUUCGCCUGUGACGAAGCGUGAGUGACGGUAAUGGGUAAAGAAGCACCGGCUAACUACGUG
Molecule: ribosomal RNA, 468 nt
Filed under: uncultured bacterium
Lineage: Bacteria
Description: partial 16S ribosomal RNA
Rfam family: Bacterial small subunit ribosomal RNA
Source: RNAcentral